UCUCCGUUGGUGAACCAGCGGAGGGAUCAUUACCGAGUUGCACCAACUCCCAAACCCCUGUGAACAUACCGCACGUUGCUUCGGCGGACCGCCCCGGCGCCCGACCCCCCCGGGGGAGACGGCCCGGACCCAGGCGCCCGCCGGGGGACCCAAACUCUUGCCUUCGCCGCCGGCGGAAUCUCACUCUGAGUGACCAAACAAAUGAAUCAAAACUUUCAACAACGGAUCUCUUGGUUCUG
Molecule: unclassified non-coding RNA, 239 nt
Filed under: plant metagenome
Description: partial contains small subunit ribosomal RNA, internal transcribed spacer 1, and 5.8S ribosomal RNA
Source: RNAcentral